Molecule: ribosomal RNA, 254 nt
Filed under: uncultured bacterium
Lineage: Bacteria
Description: partial 16S ribosomal RNA
Rfam family: Bacterial small subunit ribosomal RNA
Source: RNAcentral
UACGGGGGGAGCAAGCGUUGUUCGGAUUUACUGGGCGUAAAGGGCGCGUAGGCGGUCAGCACAAGUCAGUUGUGAAAUCUCCGGGCUUAACUCGGAACGGUCAGCUGAUACUGCUUUGCUAGAGUGCAGAAGGGGCAAUCGGAAUUCUUGGUGUAGCGGUGAAAUGCGUAGAUAUCAAGAGGAACACCUGAGGUGAAGACGGGUUGCUGGGCUGACACUGACGCUGAGGCGCGAAAGCUAGGGUAGCAAACGGG